CAGAACUCAAACAACUCAGUAAUUACCCAGUUAUGAUCCUGGCUAUGGUCUGAGGACUGGAAAAACCUGCUGGUGCUGCAGGAACAGCUGUGUGCUUUCAGGAAGCAGUUUUAACUCCUGCAAUUUGCAGCUCCACGACAUCUAUCUGCAUUGCACAGAAGUGAGGUGUGUAAAGCAUACCUUUGGGAUGGAUUUUCAGCACAGUGCCCCUUUGGCACAUCAAGAAUGAUCCAGAAAAGCACAGGAUUAUGAGCCUGAAGUUGAACAGGUACUUACAUGC
This 280-nucleotide long non-coding RNA is filed under the name Cyanistes caeruleus (blue tit). RNAcentral describes it as "lncRNA (ENSCCEG00000001387.1)". Lineage: Eukaryota; Metazoa; Chordata; Aves; Passeriformes; Paridae. The record is from RNAcentral.